ACGGAAGGCAGCAGUGGGGAAUAUUGCACAAUGGGGGAAACCCUGAUGCAGCGACGCCGCGUGGAGGAAGAAGGUCUUCGGAUUGUAAACUCCUGUUGUUAGGGACGAUAAUGACGGUACCUAACAAGGAAGCCACGGCUAACUACGUGCCAGCAGCCGCGGCAAAACGUAGGUGGCAAGCGUUGUCCGGAAUUACUGGGUGUAAAGGGAGCGCAGGCGGGAUGACAAGUUGGAAGUGAAAACUAUGGGCUCAACCCAUAGCCUGCUUUCAAAACUGUUAUUCUUGAGUAGUGCAGAGGUAGGCGGAAUUCCCGGUGUAGUGGUGGAAUGCGUAGAUAUCGGGAGGAACACCAGUGGCGAAGGCGGCCUACUGGGCACCAACUGACGCUGAGGCUCGAAAGUAUGGGUAGCAAACAGGAUUAGAUACCCUGGUA
This 434-nucleotide ribosomal RNA is filed under the name uncultured Oscillospiraceae bacterium. RNAcentral's name for it is "bacterial SSU rRNA". It matches the Rfam family "Bacterial small subunit ribosomal RNA", at positions 341 to 792 of the family's 1533-position model. The record is from RNAcentral. Lineage: Bacteria; Bacillati; Bacillota; Clostridia; Eubacteriales; Oscillospiraceae.